AAAAGGUUCAACAGUUCUCUAGUUCU
This 26-nucleotide non-coding RNA is filed under the name Cricetulus griseus (Chinese hamster). Lineage: Eukaryota; Metazoa; Chordata; Mammalia; Rodentia; Cricetidae. The record is from RNAcentral.